Molecule: regulatory RNA element, 54 nt
Organism: Beijerinckia indica subsp. indica ATCC 9039
Lineage: Bacteria; Pseudomonadati; Pseudomonadota; Alphaproteobacteria; Hyphomicrobiales; Beijerinckiaceae
Rfam family: COG3860 RNA
Source: Rfam
UGGUCGGCAGUUCACCAAGGCGUCGCUGCUCCGGAAGGAGAGCUAAACCUGCCA